This 717-nucleotide ribosomal RNA is filed under the name uncultured bacterium. RNAcentral's name for it is "bacterial SSU rRNA". It matches the Rfam family "Bacterial small subunit ribosomal RNA", at positions 39 to 754 of the family's 1533-position model. The record is from RNAcentral.
GCGGCAGGCUAACACAUGCAAGUCGAGGGGCAGCACAGAAAGAGUUUACUCUUUUGGUGGCGACCGGCGGACGGGUGCGUAACGCGUAUGCAACCUACCUUUUACAGGGGGAUAACGCUGGGAAACCGGCACUAAUACCCCAUAAUAUCAGAAUCGGCAUCGGUUUUGGUUGAAAACUCCGGUGGUAAAAGAUGGGCAUGCGUUGUAUUAGGUAGUUGGUGAGGUAAUGGCUCACCAAGCCUACGAUACAUAGGGGGACUGAGAGGUUAGCCCCCCACACUGGUACUGAGACACGGACCAGACUCCUACGGGAGGCAGCAGUGAGGAAUAUUGGUCAAUGGGGGCAACCCUGAACCAGCCAUGCCGCGUGCAGGAAGACGGCUCUAUGAGUUGUAAACUGCUUUUAUAUAUGGAUAAAUCGGAGUACGUGUACUUCGUUGAAGGUAAUAUAUGAAUAAGGACCGGCUAACUCCGUGCCAGCAGCCGCGGUAAUACGGAGGGUCCAAGCGUUAUCCGGAUUUAUUGGGUUUAAAGGGUGCGUAGGCGGCACAGUAAGUUAGCGGUGAAAUCUCGGGGCUCAACCCUGAAACUGCCGUUAAAACUGCUGAGCUAGAGAUUGGAUGCUGUGGGCGGAAUGUGUAGUGUAGCGUGAAAUGCUUAGAGAUACACAGAACACCGAUGCGAGGCAGCUCACAAAUCCACUUCUGACGUGAGCAC